GCGCGAGUGGCGGAACAGGCAGACGCACAGGACUUAAAAUCCUGCGGUAGCGAUACCGUACCGGUUCGAUUCCGGUUUCGCGCACCA
Molecule: transfer RNA, 87 nt
Filed under: Clostridiales bacterium
Lineage: Bacteria; Bacillati; Bacillota; Clostridia; Eubacteriales
Description: tRNA-Leu
Rfam family: tRNA
About the family: Transfer RNA (tRNA) molecules are approximately 80 nucleotides in length. Their secondary structure includes four short double-helical elements and three loops (D, anti-codon, and T loops).
Source: RNAcentral